GCGCCCAUCGUCUAGAGGCCUAGGACGUCGCCCUUUCACGGCGAAAACACGGGUUCGAUUCCCGUUGGGCGCG
Methylosinus sp. 3S-1 is the source of this 73-nucleotide transfer RNA. It matches the Rfam family "tRNA". Rfam says of the family: Transfer RNA (tRNA) molecules are approximately 80 nucleotides in length. Their secondary structure includes four short double-helical elements and three loops (D, anti-codon, and T loops). Further hydrogen bonds mediate the characteristic L-shaped molecular structure. tRNAs have two regions of fundamental functional importance: the anti-codon, which is responsible for specific mRNA codon recognition, and the 3' end, to which the tRNAs corresponding amino acid is attached (by aminoacyl-tRNA synthetases). tRNAs cope with the degeneracy of the genetic code in two manners: having more than one tRNA (with a specific anti-codon) for a particular amino acid; and 'wobble' base-pairing, i.e. permitting non-standard base-pairing at the 3rd anti-codon position. Lineage: Bacteria; Pseudomonadati; Pseudomonadota; Alphaproteobacteria; Hyphomicrobiales; Methylocystaceae. The record is from Rfam.